This 1357-nucleotide ribosomal RNA is filed under the name Vibrio sp. RNAcentral describes it as "bacterial SSU rRNA". It matches the Rfam family "Bacterial small subunit ribosomal RNA", at positions 85 to 1438 of the family's 1533-position model. Lineage: Bacteria; Pseudomonadati; Pseudomonadota; Gammaproteobacteria; Vibrionales; Vibrionaceae. The record is from RNAcentral.
ACGGCGUCGAGCGGCGGACGGGUGAGUAAUGCCUAGGAAAUUGCCCUGAUGUGGGGGAUAACCAUUGGAAACGAUGGCUAAUACCGCAUGAUGCCUACGGGCCAAAGAGGGGGACCUUCGGGCCUCUCGCGUCAGGAUAUGCCUAGGUGGGAUUAGCUAGUUGGUGAGGUAAGGGCUCACCAAGGCGACGAUCCCUAGCUGGUCUGAGAGGAUGAUCAGCCACACUGGAACUGAGACACGGUCCAGACUCCUACGGGAGGCAGCAGUGGGGAAUAUUGCACAAUGGGCGCAAGCCUGAUGCAGCCAUGCCGCGUGUGUGAAGAAGGCCUUCGGGUUGUAAAGCACUUUCAGUCGUGAGGAAGGUGGUGUAGUUAAUAGCUGCAUCAUUUGACGUUAGCGACAGAAGAAGCACCGGCUAACUCCGUGCCAGCAGCCGCGGUAAUACGGAGGGUGCGAGCGUUAAUCGGAAUUACUGGGCGUAAAGCGCAUGCAGGUGGUUUGUUAAGUCAGAUGUGAAAGCCCGGGGCUCAACCUCGGAAUAGCAUUUGAAACUGGCAGACUAGAGUACUGUAGAGGGGGGUAGAAUUUCAGGUGUAGCGGUGAAAUGCGUAGAGAUCUGAAGGAAUACCGGUGGCGAAGGCGGCCCCCUGGACAGAUACUGACACUCAGAUGCGAAAGCGUGGGGAGCAAACAGGAUUAGAUACCCUGGUAGUCCACGCCGUAAACGAUGUCUACUUGGAGGUUGUGGCCUUGAGCCGUGGCUUUCGGAGCUAACGCGUUAAGUAGACCGCCUGGGGAGUACGGUCGCAAGAUUAAAACUCAAAUGAAUUGACGGGGGCCCGCACAAGCGGUGGAGCAUGUGGUUUAAUUCGAUGCAACGCGAAGAACCUUACCUACUCUUGACAUCCAGAGAACUUUCCAGAGAUGGAUUGGUGCCUUCGGGAACUCUGAGACAGGUGCUGCAUGGCUGUCGUCAGCUCGUGUUGUGAAAUGUUGGGUUAAGUCCCGCAACGAGCGCAACCCUUAUCCUUGUUUGCCAGCGAGUAAUGUCGGGAACUCCAGGGAGACUGCCGGUGAUAAACCGGAGGAAGGUGGGGACGACGUCAAGUCAUCAUGGCCCUUACGAGUAGGGCUACACACGUGCUACAAUGGCGCAUACAGAGGGCGGCCAACUUGCGAAAGUGAGCGAAUCCCAAAAAGUGCGUCGUAGUCCGGAUUGGAGUCUGCAACUCGACUCCAUGAAGUCGGAAUCGCUAGUAAUCGUGGAUCAGAAUGCCACGGUGAAUACGUUCCCGGGCCUUGUACACACCGCCCGUCACACCAUGGGAGUGGGCUGCAAAAGAAGUAGGUAGUUUAA